Long non-coding RNA from Trachemys scripta elegans, 280 nucleotides. RefSeq lists it as uncharacterized. The transcript has 3 exons. NCBI's taxonomy places the organism in Eukaryota, Metazoa, Chordata, Testudines, Emydidae. The record is from RefSeq and is a predicted model, not a curated record.
UAAAUCAUUAAUGUUUCGAAAUCGCAUGUCGCUAAAUGUUGCCAAGAUGGAGCUCCUGGUCGAUUGUCUCCUUAAAUUUACCGAGAAAUGCCAGUCAUAUUCUUCUGGCCUUUGGUGACCUUCAGUUCUAUUUCAAACAGAAUCAUUCCCGCACCUAGGAAGCCUCAGAAAAGCUGCCUUCACAUGCUCCAUUUGCACUCAACAUGAUCUUUUCUGUUUUAAGUCACUUGCCAAGUAGACAGAAAUGUGUUCACAAGCUAUCCGAUCUGAUCACCAGAAG